Molecule: non-coding RNA, 291 nt
Filed under: Phascolarctos cinereus (koala)
Lineage: Eukaryota; Metazoa; Chordata; Mammalia; Diprotodontia; Phascolarctidae
Source: RNAcentral
ACAGAAUAUUGGUUCAACCUUGUUGUUUCCAGGAAUGUUAAGGCUGGUGGAUUGCUUAAGUUCAUAAGUUCUGAGCUGCAGUGAGCUAAUCCAAUAAGGUAUCCAAACUAAGUCUGGCACAAAUAUGGUGAGUCUUUAAGAUCAAGGGGCCACCAGGCUGCCUAAAAAGAUGAAACUGGCACAGGUCAGAAAUGAAGCAGGCCGAAGCUCCUGUGCUGAUCAGCUGGGAGUUCAGGUGCUUGAAUAAUCACUGAAUUUCCAGCCUAGGCAAGAUAGGGAGACUCAGUCUUA